This is a long non-coding RNA of Lates calcarifer (barramundi perch), 1562 nucleotides long. RefSeq lists it as uncharacterized. Lineage: Eukaryota; Metazoa; Chordata; Actinopteri; Centropomidae. The record is from RefSeq and is a predicted model, not a curated record. The transcript has 2 exons.
CGAAACAUGGCGGAAGCUCUUGUUAAGCGACCGUUACCACUACAACAACAACCGCUACUCUCCUCCGGCAAGAAACAAUGUUCGUGGCAGAGAAAAGCAGUGAUAGAAACAGAAGAAAACAAGAGUUAACAUUGGCGUUGCCAGCCACCGCUGAAGACAGCUCUUGGCAAAUAAAGGAGAGAAGUUUGAUGAACUGAUGAACUGAAACCGUUUCUUCUAGACUGAGGAAAAGGGGUGACAGCCAGACGGGACAGGGCACACUGGCUGUCUGUUGGGGCUUGUUUGUGUCUGUUGGCAUAGCAACUGUCAGGCUGCGACGGCAGAGGCAUGGUGGAGGACGGCGGCUGCUACGUGAUUCAUGGACAGCGAGGGCGGCCGAGCAGAGCAAAAAAAAUUAAAAAAGUUUGGCAUUGGGGUCGAAAAGAACCAGAGAGGAAGCAUCUGUUGGAUCUGCAAAGACUCAGGCUGGCCUCAGCUGCUCCAGCUGCCACCCACAAUGCACUAGCAUGAGCCAGGUUCAGGUUUUAAAUCCUCUAAACCUGUGCAUUGUUAGAAUAUAUUCACUCUGUAAGAUGUUUUAAAUAACAGCAUCCAUCAAAUGAAACGUAACUUAAAUUGAGAAAGAAAACUGAUUCAGUUGUUGACAAAACAAUCUCAGCACAAGAUCCAUUUAGUAGCUGUUCUGGAGCUUACAACAGUAUCACACAGUCCUCCUCAGCAGAUGGAGGUGAUGUCAAUAUAUUUGAAACUGACAAAAACAGGAAAGACUCCCAGAAGUCCAGGCUUAUUUAUUGGGUAAGUUGACAGAUUUUUUUUUUUUUUGAAAAUGUAUUUUCGCAAUUCAUCUGUUGUUGCUGUAUUUAGAUGUACUAAUGUGAUUUAUUUUUGGUUUGAAUUUGCACUGAUGAGCUCCAUUGUUCACAUGUUUUAUGUCUGUAUUUGAGCAACUUGGGAACAUGCUGGAAAUAAAAGUUCUCACUUUAUUGUGUUAUCCUUUUCGAAUAGGUUUGUUGUUGGAGCUGUGGCUGAGGAGGUAGAGUGGGUCACCCACUAACCAGGAGGUUGAAGGUUGAUGGCGUCCUUGGGCAAGAUACUAAAUCCCAGUUACCCCAGGUAUGAAUGUGUGAUAGAAAACAGCAAAAAAUACACAAUGGUGAUUAUAUAAAUACAGUUUUCUCUUUAUGCUGAGAAGUUGCAACCAACCACUCUGUAGAUCAUCACUACUGAGAGCAUUUAAACUUAUUUAAUUUAAAGUAUAAAAGAUGAAGUUACUAUAUAACGUGAAGCUCAAGGAUUCAGGAGUCUAAAAACUGAGUAGAAACAGGACAUUUGUAUGUGUGUUUAUUUGAGCUGACAAAAUGCUAAACAUUCCCAUGUGUUAUGGGUUUAAACAGAUUAGGAAACCUUUAAUUCAAUUACACAGAGUGACAAAGCACACUGGUAAAUGACUUGAAUGUGGUCAGCUAAAGGAAGAGCUCUAAUUUAAGUUUGUUUUCCCAUAGAGAGACACUGCAGGGAGAUUAAAAAAAAAAAAGACAACACAAAUUUUAAAAAGUGUUUAA